Molecule: non-coding RNA, 148 nt
Filed under: Alkalispirochaeta americana
Lineage: Bacteria; Pseudomonadati; Spirochaetota; Spirochaetia; Spirochaetales; Spirochaetaceae
Description: Spirochaeta americana FMN sequence
Rfam family: FMN riboswitch aptamer (RFN element)
About the family: The RFN element is a highly conserved domain that is found frequently in the 5'-untranslated regions of prokaryotic mRNAs that encode for flavin mononucleotide (FMN) biosynthesis and transport proteins. This element is a metabolite-dependent riboswitch that directly binds FMN in the absence of proteins.
Source: Rfam by way of RNAcentral
CGUGGUUUUCGGGGCAGGGUGCGUCGGCUUGUGCUGACAAUUCCCGACCGGCGGUUAUAGUCCGCGAGUGCUUUCCGGGUUUUCCCGGCUGCGCUGAACCGGUGAAAUUCCGGUACCGACGGUACAGUCCGGAAGGGAGAAAACCGCG